This 208-nucleotide long non-coding RNA is filed under the name Lathyrus oleraceus (garden pea). RNAcentral describes it as "Pisum sativum (pea) long non-coding RNA (PSAT_LNC025498)". Lineage: Eukaryota; Viridiplantae; Streptophyta; Magnoliopsida; Fabales; Fabaceae. The record is from RNAcentral.
UUUGUUCCUGAGCUGUCAUGCUCGCUAGGCGAGCAGAAUGGUUCGCUUAGCGAAAGGAACUGUCAUGCUCGCUAAGCGAGCAGAUCCUUCGUUAGGCGACGCGCACGCGUUUUCAGAAAAUAACAGAAAGUUUUGGGCUUGAGUUGUCCUCAUCUGAGCCCAUAGAGUCACGAAAUUAGCUUAUAAAUACUAGAGUUUCAGUUGGAGA